Molecule: long non-coding RNA, 1332 nt
Filed under: Chrysemys picta bellii (western painted turtle)
Lineage: Eukaryota; Metazoa; Chordata; Testudines; Emydidae
Description: lncRNA (ENSCPBG00000009709.1)
Source: RNAcentral
AUGUCCCAUAGCAACAGGAAACCCCACAACCAUGUUCGAGAGCUCACCAGGGACAUGGAUCUGGCCAGGUUACGCUCCUGUCCCCAGCCUCUGAGCAUGGAGACCCUGCAGGGUGUGCGGGAUGCGCUGGAGAAGUGGGGGGUGCUGGACGAGGAGCUGGGAGCUGGCUUUGAGCGGGCCUUGGCGGAGUUCCCCCGGGAGCCCCCGUGUGUGCAGCGCAACGCCCGGAUGGUGAUCCAGAGCGACGAGACUGAGCUGACGUUCUUCUCUGGGAAGGGCAAGUGUAAGAUCAGUAUCUCUGACAACGGCACCUGCUAUGAGGUGAAAGAGCCAACAGCCCAGGUGUACCUGGCCAGGUUACGCUCCCGUCCCCAGAAACUGAGCACCAAGUCCCUGCAGGGUGUGCGAGAUGUGCUGGAGAAGUGGGGGGUGCUGGACGAGGAGCUGGGAGCCAGCUUUGAGCGGGCCCUGGUGGAGUUCCCCCGGGAGCCCCGGUGUGUGAAGAGCAAUGCCCGGAUGGUGAUCAGGCAUGACCACACCGAGCUGGUGUUUGUGUCGGGCCAGGGGGAAUGCGAGAUCACUGUGUCUGAAGGCGACGGGGAGCCCUGCUAUGAGGUGAAGGAGCCCACGGUGACGGUGUAUCGGGAGAGGUUACGCGCUCGCCCACAAAGGCUGAGCGUGGGGAGCCUGCAGAGAAUCCGGGACAGGCUGGAGUGCUGGGAGGUGAUGACCGAGGAGCUGAGAUGCUCCUUCGAUCUGGUGCUGAGGGAAUUCCCCAAGGAGCCCGAGUGCGUCCGGGAGAACCCCAGGAUGUGCGUUGCCUGGGACGAGACGAAGCUGCGGCUGAUCUCUGAAGAUGGGGACUGUGAGGUCUCCGUGACAUGCUGUGACGGGAAACCCAGCUAUGAGGUGACAGUGAAGAGCUGGGCGAUGUAUCAGGAGAGGAUGCAUCUCUCUGAACAGCCACUGAGCAUUGAGAACCUGGAGGGCGUGCGGAGGGAGGUGAGGAGUCUGUCAGGGACUCCCAAGAAGGUCAAGGAGGCCUUGAACGUGGCCGUUAGGGAUUUCUCCGCUGAACCGGGCUGCCUGCAGGAGAAUGCCCGGCUGGUCAUUGAGUGCGACGGGGGCGAGAUGGUUUUUGUCUCCGGGAAAGGGGAGAAUAAAGUGAACGUGUGCAUCGUCGAUGGGAAGGUCAGUUACAGUGUCCAAGCCACCAGAUGGGUGACUUUCCUUAGGAUAUUGCGGAAACUACUCCCCAAGCUCCCCGAGGCCUUGCUGAAGCUCAUCCCCAUCUUAGGCCAAGUCCUAUCAGUGCUGUUGGUAGCGUUGUGA